RNAcentral lists this transfer RNA (95 nucleotides) under Colletotrichum higginsianum. Its description in RNAcentral is "tRNA CH063_16182". It matches the Rfam family "tRNA". Rfam says of the family: Transfer RNA (tRNA) molecules are approximately 80 nucleotides in length. Their secondary structure includes four short double-helical elements and three loops (D, anti-codon, and T loops). RNAcentral also lists the same sequence under 1 other name. The record is from Rfam by way of RNAcentral. Lineage: Eukaryota; Fungi; Ascomycota; Sordariomycetes; Glomerellales; Glomerellaceae.
GGCAACAUGUCCGAGUGGUUAAGGAGUCAGACUUGAAUUAUUCAUAUCUUCAUCUGAUGGCUUCGGCCGCGUAGGUUCGAACCCUGCUGUUGUCG